UACAGAGGGUGCGAGCGUUAAUCGGAAUUACUGGGCGUAAAGCGUGCGUAGGUGGUUCGUUAAGUCUGUCGUGAAAGCCCCGGGCUCAACCUGGGAAUGGCGAUGGAUACUGGCGGGCUAGAGUGCGGUAGAGGAGAGUGGAAUUCCCGGUGUAGCAGUGAAAUGCGUAGAGAUCGGGAGGAACACCAGUGGCGAAGGCGGCUCGCUGGGCCGGUCCUGACGCUGAGACG
Molecule: ribosomal RNA, 230 nt
Filed under: uncultured bacterium
Lineage: Bacteria
Description: partial 16S ribosomal RNA
Rfam family: Bacterial small subunit ribosomal RNA
Source: RNAcentral